AGUGAACGCUGGCGGUAGGCCUAACACAUGCAAGUCGAACGGCAGCACAGUAAGAGCUUGCUCUUACGGGUGGCGAGUGGCGGACGGGUGAGGAAUACAUCGGAAUCUACUUUUUCGUGGGGGAUAACGUAGGGAAACUUACGCUAAUACCGCAUACGACCUACGGGUGAAAGCAGGGGAUCUUCGGACCUUGCGCGAUUGAAUGAGCCGAUGUCGGAUUAGCUAGUUGGCGGGGUAAAGGCCCACCAAGGCGACGAUCCGUAGCUGGUCUGAGAGGAUGAUCAGCCACACUGGAACUGGGACACGGUCCAGACUCCUACGGGAGGCAGCAGUGGGGAAUAUUGGACAGUGGGCGCAAGCCUGAUCCAGCCAUACCGCGUGGGUGAAGAAGGCCUUCGGGUUGUAAAGCCCUUUUGUUGGGAAAGAAAAGCAGCAGGUUAAUACCCAGCUGUUCUGACGGUACCCAAAGAAUAAGCACCGGCUAACUUCGUG
This 492-nucleotide ribosomal RNA is filed under the name uncultured bacterium. RNAcentral's name for it is "partial 16S ribosomal RNA". It matches the Rfam family "Bacterial small subunit ribosomal RNA", at positions 29 to 507 of the family's 1533-position model. The record is from RNAcentral.